CCCUUAGAUGUUCUGGGCCGCACGCGCGCUACACUGACGAAUGCAACGAGCUUAUAACCUUGGCCGAAAGGUCUGGGUAAUCUCCAAAUUUCGUCGUGAUGGGGAUAGAUUAUUGCAAUUAUUAAUCUUCAACGAGGAAUGCCUAGUAAGCGCAAGUCAUCAGCUUGCGUUGAUUACGUCCCCGCCCUUUGUACACACCGCCCGUCGCUCCUACCGAUUGAAUGGUCCGGUGAAGCGUUCGGACCGUGGCCUUUGGACGGUUCGCCGUCUGUUGGCUGCGGGAAGUUCGUUAAACCUUAUCAUUUAGAGGAAGGAGAAGUCGUANCA
RNAcentral lists this ribosomal RNA (327 nucleotides) under uncultured eukaryote. RNAcentral describes it as "partial 18S ribosomal RNA". It matches the Rfam family "Eukaryotic small subunit ribosomal RNA", at positions 1470 to 1796 of the family's 1831-position model. The record is from RNAcentral.